Oncorhynchus mykiss (rainbow trout) is the source of this 5501-nucleotide non-coding RNA. NCBI's taxonomy places the organism in Eukaryota, Metazoa, Chordata, Actinopteri, Salmoniformes, Salmonidae. The record is from RefSeq and is a predicted model, not a curated record.
CGUAGCCACCGUGCUUCUACACCUGCAUUGCUUGUGGUUUGGGGUUUUAGGCUGGGUUUCUGUACAGCACUUUGUGACAUCAGCUGAUGUAAGAAGAGCUUUAUAAAUAAAUGUGAUUGAUAAUGAUAGCUAUGUACCUUGCAGGUUGGCCUUAGGAUGUCAUUAUCUCCCCAGUAUCCAUUGUUUAACAUGCAGACAAGUGAGCUAUAUGUCCUUCAGUUUCUUGACUUUGUGCCAAAGGCCAGACAGACAGACGGGCGAAGGAUUCUGAUCUGAUCCGGGUUGGGGUGGGGUGUGGUGGGGUUGGAGAACUGUCUGAGAGGGGGAGGCUGGCUGGAGGAGGAGACGGAGAGGAGUGCUCCUCCGUGGGGGUGAGUCAUCGCCUUCGGAGGCUAUUCAGUGAGUUCACUCUGGGAGGAUCGUGAUCCUUCGGUUGGUCGGUGAAUCCGCCGUCCUCCUCGCCACAGCCAGAGAGGGGCUGUGAAGGAAAGUGUGGGGGCCUGGCUGGGCUGAUGACUCAGGGCCACGCACCGCACAAGGAGUGAGGGAGGAGGGGGAGGGAGGGAGGAAUUACGAAUUACUCCGAGCAUGUGGAAUCUCAUACAGCUAUCACAGGACAGACACUGUGCUUCUACUAGGCUCUGAGGCUCUGUAGAAGUCUGUCCUUAGGCACAGUGGUAAUGGCAGUGGUAAGACGGCUAAGGGCCGUUGGUUUCCAUUGAAGAGGAACAGAACAGAGCAGUAUAUUCCUGUCCUCGCACUUUGAAACAAAGUCAUGCCCCCCUUCUUAUUGAAUGAAUUACGUCUUUCUAUUACAGCAAGUCGGUGCAGGUUUGAAGCUCUGCAACUCCAGCAAAGUAAUUAAGCAUUGCAUGCUGUCAAAAUAUUCCAUUACAAAAGUCUUGAAGAUUUGGGAAGUGUCUCCGGUGACUAUCUAGAUGGGAGGGGAGGUGAGUUGGGCCGUUUAUUGUCCAGUUCUUCCUGUUUCUUUCUUGAGUGAUGAUGCUCCUCCUCCAGCUCUGUCAUUGGAUAAAUUCUUUCAAAUAACAAAGCUUCAUUGAGUGAUGAUGACAAACAUUUCCAGAAAGAGAACUACCUGUAUGACAUGCAAUACGGACUCUCUAUGCGCCCCCUCUAGUGUGAGUCAUCAGGCCUAAAGACGCCGAGCUGUGAGUGGUGAAUCAGGUGUUGAUAAUGGCCAACAGUGGAGGGCUGGUCAGCCGACAGGUGGGGGCUGGUGUGUGUUGGGUGUGUGUAUAGGUGUGCAGUGCGUGCAUGUAUUGUUGUGUGCAUGUUUUGUGUGAUGUGAGUGUGGAGGGAGAUUAUGGUGUGUGUGUGUCUCCAUGAAGAGGAGUUGAUGUUGUGUGAUGCAUGACUCAACACGAGAGGAAGGCCACACCCAUGGGACGAGCCCAGGCUCCCUUCAGCGGCGGCAUGGUCCUAGAUCUCACUGACUAUGGGUGCCACGAUUAAAGUGUAUUGUCCUAACUGAUGAAGCUCAAACACUUGAAGAGGCACUCAAAUCCUGCACAAACCCUCCGACACAAAGGCAGAGAGGCCAGGCGAGAAAGUGGAGCACACCUUCACCCUCCGCUGUAUGCCCCUUUAUAAACAAACUCUUCCAACCUGAUUUCAGCCAACCAGCUACUGAGAGUCUGGGCCCGUAUUCACAAAGCGUCUCAGAGUAGCAGUGCUGAUCUAGGAUCAGGUCCCCCCUGUCCAUACAAACAUAUUCAUUAUGGUCUAAAAGGCAAAAAACUGAACCUAGAUCUGCACUCCUUCUCUGAGACACUUUAUGAUAGGGACAACCGGGAGUAAAUAGAAUGACUUAGCCAUGGCUUAACCAUGUGUUGCAUCUCCAUAAUGGUAAUUUCCUCCAGUAAUUACUCAUCAUUAAAUGUCUCUCUCUCCCAAUCACCUGGUUAGUGUUUAUAAUACGGUCUGCCUUGGUAAAUCCCCAUCAUUCUGAAAUAGCCUGAUUGUGUUUAAUUGGAGCAUUCACUAAACAGAGUCCACCCACCAGCAUCAACAAAUCCAAUAUAUUUUAACAGCAGGGAACAAUUUAAUCCGCCUCCAUAUAUCACCAUUGUAAACAACCAAGACGCAGAGCCCAAUGUUGCACAAUGAGCCUGCGUUGAGGAGGAGUUGAAAGGUCAGGUAAACACUUGUCCCAGGCUUUCCCUGCCUUUUUAAUCAGGACUCCUGUCCAUUUUUUGAUCUUGAUUAGAUCUCUUGACUUAUGGCUGUGUACACUAAUGCUGCACUUCUGGCGGCUCCUUAACUCACUGUUUGGUUUGUUUCAUGUGGACGGGAAUGUCAAGUUGCUUGUUGGCCUGGAGGCUUGUGCGCUGAGUCGCCGACAAACCAUGGAAUGAAUCCUUUGCAGACUAAUGGGCGGGCCAACGUUUUCCAGUGUUUGUCAUGGUGAGUUUGUUUGCCUAUAUGCAUACCUCAUAUUCAUAUUCAGUGCUAACUUUAGUGCUUGUGUGUUUCCAUUCUGUGAAUAUAGGUCCUCAAAGCCCAACGUGGUCCAGUUUCAGAGAAACUGCCUCAUUCAGCACAAAUAUUAUGGAAGACCAUUUAGAGUGGUUUACCAGAUGGCUUCCAUGGAGUUUCUCAACCUCCACCAAAUAGGGAAUUGCCAUUGACAGCAAGUAAACAACCUGAACACCAACUGCCGCCAACGUAAACAUCUUAAGGUAGCAUGUGUCUCUGCUACAUUCAAAACUUCGGCUGCAGUUGUCAGGCUGGGUUAAAGGUCAUGAAGCAUCCAGUGACGGGUGGAAAUGAAGACCACACAGCUUGAAGAGAUCAGGUUGAAGAGGGAGGACAUAUUUAACUUGUGGGUCAUAGGUCAAACUCUCUCCCUCUACCUUUCCAUCUCCCCCGCUCUCUUUCACUCUCACCUUUCUCCUUCCCCUCUACCCCGCUCUUUCUAUCACCCCACCUCUCUCUUUCUUCACCUACAUGUAUACUCCUGUCUUUUCCUCUUCUGACCCCCCCACCCCUCUCUCUCCUUCAUUCUCAUCCUCUCUCUCAGCCUGGCUGUUAUUUCUCCAUAUGUUUUGACUAUGUGCUACCUGAGCUGGUCUGUGCUGUUGGGCCUGAGGCAGGUCUCUGGCAGGCAGCAGUGUCAAGUUGGAGGGAGGCUUGGUGGUCUGUGUGUGACAUGGAGAAGGGCCCACCGGCACCGCAGCAGCCCCGCUGAGGCCAGGUCUACAGCUGUCCCACCCUGCCAGGGCCUCUGCUUACAGUCACUGUGAGUUACGACCGUUGCUCCUUACUCACACACACACACACACUGGCAGGCGCACACACAGAGGUGAAUGCCCCCCCUACUAGCAGCCACACACACCGCAGACACACACGCUGAGGCAAGAUAUAUUCCUAGCAGGAGCUUAAGCCCUAUCUGAGAAAGCCCAUUCCCACUUGGCUUGUUAAAGACAGGCCAUGUAGAAAGAGUACAUUUAAAGCCCACACAUCAAAUACAGGGGAAAUGUGAUGUGUAGCUGAUAGCGCUCUGUGCAUUCACACCACAUCCCGUGCCAGAGGGCACAGACAAACACACACACACACUCCCCGUACCAGAGGGCGCACACACACACACACACACACACACACACACACACACACACACACACACACACACAUACACCCCGUACCAGAGGGCACACACACACCCUGUACCAGAGGGCACACACACACCCCGUACCAGAGGGCACGCAAACACUCUUUAUCAGAGGGCACACACACACCUCGUACCAGAGGGCAUGCACACACACACACACCCCGUACCAGAGGGCACGCACACACACACCCCAUACCAGAGGGCACGCACGCAAACACACCCCGUACCAGAGGGCACACACACACCCUGUACCAGAGGGCACACACACACCCUGUACCAGAGGGCACAUACACCCUGUACCAGAGGGCACACACACACAAUGAAUAACCCCCACCAGACGCACACAUAGACGAAUGAUCCUUAACAGAGGACACACACAAACUCCCAAAGCCCUCAAUCACAGGCGUGUACGGGCCCAGCAUACAUGUUUAUGUCUACAGAUCAAUCCAGCUGAUCCAGAAGCAGCCCAACCUUGACCUGAUAGAUCAACAAUGCUCUCUGUCUCUCCAUUAUUGGCGAGAUGUUUGGACACAGCUUGUAGCAGGGUGAUGAGGCCAGAACUGAUAUUGGAUUUCAUAACCCUAUAAUGCUAUAGUCCAAUCAUUGAAAUGCUUUACUUUAGAACAGAAGCUUUUGCUAAUUAAAUCAAUACAAUUGUCCUGUUGUUUGUUCUACAGCAAGGAGAACGUCCCCUGAAGGUGUGUGUGUGUGUGUGUGUGUAAAUGUGUAACUGUGUUCAUGCAUGUAUGUGUGUGUGUCAAUGUAAUACAGUAUCUCAUGCAACAAUCACCGGAUGGAAUGCUUCUUGGUCCACAGGAAAGGAUGGAUGGAGAGAAGAUGGAUGGAUGGAUAGAGGAUCGAGAUUAGAGAUGGAUAAAUAGAGGAUAGAGACUAGAGAUGGAUGGAGAGAGGAUGGAUUGAGAAAGGCGUGGGUGUAGAUGAAUGGUGAGUGGGGGUCCUGCAGUACUAAAAGCCGGUGACCCAGACCAUACACACCCACUCACAGGGACCUAACACCACUCAGAGGACUGCUCCUUGGUCCACUGCUACCACAUGCUAAAACACUUAGAUACAACACACACACACACACACACACACACACACACAUACACACACACACACACACACACACACACACACACACACAGAGAUAGCAAAAUGCUAAAUGUGAAGUUCACAUUCAAAAUACAUCCCGAGACACAGACUACCAGUCAGAGACAUCAACACACGCUCUUGUGUGUGUUGCCAUGCGAUGGUGAUGAGCUGCACAUGACAUGAGUGGGGCGUGGAGCCCAACCUCUUAUCAGACAAAGGAGAUACACAGAGAAGAGAGAAGGAGGGAAGGAGAGGAGAAGGAUGGGGGGGGGGGGGAGGAAGGAGACGUGCCGCCCCAGACUGCAGUCAUGAGGUCUCCAUCCCGUUCCACACGCCGAGUCUCGUGGGUAAAAAGCCAUAAUAAAAAAACUUUGCGCUAUAGCCAAAACCCCCCUCACACACAGUCAAGAGUCACAACACACACACACACACACACACACACACACACACACACACACACACAUACACACACACACACACACACACACACACACACAGUCAAGAGUCACAACACACACACACAGUCAAGAGUCACAACACACACACACAGUCAAGAGUCACAACACACACACACAAUCGAGCCACAACACACACACAGGAACCGGACUGCGUAGAUUAAUGCCAUUCGCCCCGGGAGUACCCCUUUGGUUUUGAGUUGAGGAAGUCCAGACAAGCUAUUUCACACACACUGUUCAUGUGAUCCCAUAAAUUCACUUCCUUUUCUGUAUGUCUUGACCGAAAAGUUGUGUUUGUCAAUAAAAUGUUUGAUUUGCAAGUA